GAUGAACGCUGGCGGCGUGCCUAAUACAUGCAAGUCGAGCGAACGGACGAGAAGCUUGCUUCUCUGAUGUUAGCGGCGGACGGGUGAGUAACACGUGGAUAACCUACCUAUAAGACUGGGAUAACUUCGGGAAACCGGAGCUAAUACCGGAUAAUAUUUUGAACCGCAUGGUUCAAAAGUGAAAGACGGUCUUGCUGUCACUUAUAGGUGGAUCCGCGCUGCAUUAGCUAGUUGGUAAGGUAACGGCUUACCAAGGCAACGAUGCAUAGCCGACCUGAGAGGGAGACCGGCCACACUGGAACUGAGACACGGUCCAGACUCCUACGGGAGGCAGCAGUAGGGAAUCUUCCGCAAUGGGCGAAAGCCUGACGGAGCAACGCCGCGUGAGUGAUGAAGGUCUUCGGAUCGUAAAACUCUGUUAUUAGGGAAGAACAUAUGUGUAAGUAACUGUGCACAUCUUGACGGUACCUAAUCAGAAAGCCACGGCUAACUACGUGCCAGCAGCCGCGGUAAUACGUAGGUGGCAAGCGUUAUCCGGAAUUAUUGGGCGUAAAGCGCGCGUAGGCGGUUUUUUAAGUCUGAUGUGAAAGCCCACGGCUCAACCGUGGAGGGUCAUUGGAAACUGGAAAACUUGAAUGCAGAAGAGGAAAGUGGAAUUCCAUGUGUAGCGGUGAAAUGCGCAGAGAUAUGGAGGAACACCAGUGGCGAAGGCGACUUUCUGGUCUGUAACUGACGCUGAUGUGCGAAAGCGUGGGGAUCAAACAGGAUUAGAUACCCUGGUAGUCCACGCCGUAAACGAUGAGUGCUAAGUGUUAGGGGGUUUCCGCCCCUUAGUGCUGCAGCUAACGCAUUAAGCACUCCGCCUGGGGAGUACGACCGCAAGGUUGAAACUCAAAGGAAUUGACGGGGACCCGCACAAGCGGUGGAGCAUGUGGUUUAAUUCGAAGCAACGCGAAGAACCUUACCAAAUCUUGACAUCCUUUGACAACUCUAGAGAUAGAGCCUUCCCCUUCGGGGGACAAAGUGACAGGUGGUGCAUGGUUGUCGUCAGCUCGUGUCGUGAGAUGUUGGGUUAAGUCCCGCAACGAGCGCAACCCUUAAGCUUAGUUGCCAUCAUUAAGUUGGGCACUCUAAGUUGACUGCCGGUGACAAACCGGAGGAAGGUGGGGAUGACGUCAAAUCAUCAUGCCCCUUAUGAUUUGGGCUACACACGUGCUACAAUGGACAAUACAAAGGGCAGCGAAACCGCGAGGUCAAGCAAAUCCCAUAAAGUUGUUCUCAGUUCGGAUUGCAGUCUGCAACUCGACUACAUGAAGCUGGAAUCGCUAGUAAUCGUAGAUCAGCAUGCUACGGUGAAUACGUUCCCGGGUCU
Molecule: ribosomal RNA, 1372 nt
Filed under: uncultured bacterium
Lineage: Bacteria
Description: bacterial SSU rRNA
Rfam family: Bacterial small subunit ribosomal RNA
Source: RNAcentral